AAAAAUAAUAAUUAAAUCAUCCAAUACAUUGCUGACACCUGUGGUUGUCAAAAAACGUUGUCAAAUAACGUUGUUAACAUAUCGGGAUCCUUAUAUUUAUUGUUGUUCUUGUCCUCCUCUUCUCACUCCUAAAUCCCAAUUCUCAACCCCACGCCUCGUUCAAAGCUCAAAAUCUAGAGAAUUAAUUCAAUCAAUAGUUACAACUGGCAACUUAUACUCG
RNAcentral lists this long non-coding RNA (220 nucleotides) under Vigna radiata. RNAcentral's name for it is "long non-coding RNA (VRAD_LNC018083)". The record is from RNAcentral. Lineage: Eukaryota; Viridiplantae; Streptophyta; Magnoliopsida; Fabales; Fabaceae.